This 82-nucleotide transfer RNA is filed under the name Ixodes scapularis (black-legged tick). Its description in RNAcentral is "tRNA-Ser". It matches the Rfam family "tRNA". Rfam says of the family: Transfer RNA (tRNA) molecules are approximately 80 nucleotides in length. The record is from RNAcentral. Lineage: Eukaryota; Metazoa; Arthropoda; Arachnida; Ixodida; Ixodidae.
GCAGUCGUGGCCGAGUGGUUAAGGCGAUGGACUUGAAAUCCAUUGGGGUCUCUCCUCACAGGUUCGAAUCCUGUCGGCUGCG